GACGUAGGGCGCGAGCGUUGUCCGGAUUUAUUGGGCGUAAAGAGCUCGUAGGCGGUUUGUCGCGUCUGCUGUGAAAACUGGAGGCUCAACCUCCAGCCUGCAGUGGGUACGGGCAAGCUAGAGUGCGGUAGGGGAGAUUGGAAUUCCUGGUGUAGCGGUGGAAUGCGCAGAUAUCAGGAGGAACACCGAUGGCGAAGGCAGGUCUCUGGGCCACUACUGACGCUGAGAAGCGAAAGCAUGGGGAGCGAACAGG
Molecule: ribosomal RNA, 253 nt
Filed under: uncultured bacterium
Lineage: Bacteria
Description: partial 16S ribosomal RNA
Rfam family: Bacterial small subunit ribosomal RNA
Source: RNAcentral